AUUGAACGCUGGCGGCAGGCCUAACACAUGCAAGUCGAGCGGAGCGGCGGACGGGUGAGUAAUGCCUAGGUAUCUGCCUGGUCGUGGGGGAUAACGUACUGAAACGGGCGCUAAUACCUACUACUAUCAGAUGAGUCUAGGUCGGAUUCGCUAGUUGGUGGGGUAAGUGCUUACAAAGGCGACGAUCCGUAACUGGUCUGAGAGGAUGAUCAGUCACACUGGAACUGAGACACGGUCCAGACUCCGACGGGAGGCAGCAGUGGGGAAUAUUGGACAAUGGGCGAAAGCCUGAUCCAGCCAGGCCGCGUGUGUGAAGAAGGUCUUAGGAUUGUAAAGCACGUUAAGUUGGGAGGCGUUACCAACAGAAUAAGCACCGGCUAACUUCGUGCCAGCAGCCGCGGUAAUAC
This 407-nucleotide ribosomal RNA is filed under the name uncultured bacterium. Its description in RNAcentral is "partial 16S ribosomal RNA". It matches the Rfam family "Bacterial small subunit ribosomal RNA", at positions 30 to 526 of the family's 1533-position model. The record is from RNAcentral.